RNAcentral lists this long non-coding RNA (525 nucleotides) under Daphnia pulex (common water flea). Its description in RNAcentral is "uncharacterized LOC124197380". The record is from RNAcentral. Lineage: Eukaryota; Metazoa; Arthropoda; Branchiopoda; Diplostraca; Daphniidae.
GCCUGCAUCAUGAAACAUGGCGAAACAAAUUGUUGCUAACUUGCUAUUUACUUAUUUUUCUGUGAAUUCUCAAUUGAACUUCGUUUGUAAAGUCAGUCCGUCAUUCCAACAAUUAAGUUGACUUAGUGCUCAGUCACUUUCCAUCCUAUUAGAUCGUUAUGAGUGUCAAAAGCCUGAAACUCAUAUUUGAAGCCUACAUACAGUGGAAUUAGACAAAAGUUCUUGUGCAUGGACCAUGGAUCUUUUCUGAAUCUUGCAAGUGUAACCUGUGUCAGAAUGUUUGUCGAGUGUAUGACUGUUUCUACAGCCGUUCAGAAGGCAACCCAGCUGAGAAAUAGUUCCAGUUUCAGUGAAUGUACAUGAAGAGUGUGAAGUGUAUUUAGUACAUUUACCAGAUCUGCUUGAUGAAAGUCAAAUGCCUUACUGAAUUCGUCACCCAAAUGAUAAAGGUAAACAUCAUUAUCACCUUUUACCAUGCUACUAUGAGUUAAUUUUGUUUAAGCUUCCUUUUAAUUCCCAACUCAU